UGUUCCACGCCACUGCCGUGAUCGGCGCCGCACUCCUGACCGGGCACGGCAUCGCCCGGCGUGGUCUUGGGCUGACCGCGACCUUUGGUUUCAUCGUGGGCUCAGCCCUGUUCGCCGGGGAUCUGACAAUGCGCCAGUAUGCCGGUCAUGGAUUGUUCACAAUGGCCGCACCGACCGGCGGCACACUCCUUAUUCUGAGCUGGCUGGUGCUGGCGAUCGCCGCAGCCUGGC
This 231-nucleotide unclassified non-coding RNA is filed under the name Hevea brasiliensis (rubber tree). Lineage: Eukaryota; Viridiplantae; Streptophyta; Magnoliopsida; Malpighiales; Euphorbiaceae. The record is from RNAcentral.